UACGGAGGAUCCGAGCGUUAUCCGGAUUUAUUGGGUUUAAAGGGUGCGCAGGCGGAAUGUUAAGUCGGCGGUGAAAUUUUGCAGCUCAACUGUAAAAGUGCCUUCGAAACUGGCCUUCUUGAGUAUGGAUGAAGUAGGCGGAAUUUGUGGUGUAGCGGUGAAAUGCAUAGAUAUCACGAGGAACUCCGAUUGCGAAGGCAGCUUACUAAACCAUAACUGACGCUCAUGCACGAAGGCGUGGGGAUCGAACAGG
RNAcentral lists this unclassified non-coding RNA (253 nucleotides) under uncultured Bacteroidales bacterium. RNAcentral's name for it is "contains 16S-23S intergenic spacer region". It matches the Rfam family "Bacterial small subunit ribosomal RNA", at positions 524 to 776 of the family's 1533-position model. Lineage: Bacteria; Pseudomonadati; Bacteroidota; Bacteroidia; Bacteroidales. The record is from RNAcentral.